GGGUACCACAAUUCCCACCAGGUGAUUUUCCUCCUUGACCACCUCCUCCUGAACCAUGAGACGGAGGUGUAUGUGAACCUGAACCUGAACUAGGAGGAUUUCCGGUACUCGGAUCAGGAGAGUAAUAUGUCUUUUGUUCUUCAAAAGAAGCUCUAGCCAUAACAGGAGUGACCAAAUUAUGUAUGAGCAAUGCAGCCCACAAA
This 203-nucleotide unclassified non-coding RNA is filed under the name Hevea brasiliensis (rubber tree). The record is from RNAcentral. Lineage: Eukaryota; Viridiplantae; Streptophyta; Magnoliopsida; Malpighiales; Euphorbiaceae.